UACGUAGGUGGCAAGCGUUAUCCGGAAUUAUUGGGCGUAAAGCGCGCGUAGGCGGUUUUUUAAGUCUGAUGUGAAAGCCCACGGCUCAACCGUGGAGGGUCAUUGGAAACUGGAAAACUUGAGUGCAGAAGAGGAAAGUGGAAUUCCAUGUGUAGCGGUGAAAUGCGCAGAGAUAUGGAGGAACACCAGUGGCGAAGGCGACUUUCUGGUCUGUAACUGACGCUGAUGUGCGAAAGCGU
Molecule: ribosomal RNA, 239 nt
Filed under: uncultured Staphylococcus sp.
Lineage: Bacteria; Bacillati; Bacillota; Bacilli; Caryophanales; Staphylococcaceae
Description: partial 16S ribosomal RNA
Rfam family: Bacterial small subunit ribosomal RNA
Source: RNAcentral